GUAGGUGGCAAGCGUUGUCCGGAAUUAUUGGGCGUAAAGCGCGCGCAGGCGGUUCUUUAAGUCUGAUGUGAAAGCCCACGGCUCAACCGUGGAGGGUCACUGGAAACUGGAGAACUUGAGUACAGAAGAGGAAAGCGGAAUUCCACGUGUAGCGGUGAAAUGCGUAGAGAUGUGGAGGAACACCAGUGGCGAAGGCGGCUUUUCUGGUCUGUAACUGACGCUGAGGCGCGAAAGCGUGGGGAGCAAACAGGGAUUAGAUACCCUGGUAGUCCACGCCGUAAACGAUGAGUGCUAAGUGUUAGGGGGUUUCCGCCCCCUUAGUGCUGCAGCUAACGCAUUAAGCACUCCGCCUGGGGAGUACGGCCGCAAGGCUG
Molecule: ribosomal RNA, 374 nt
Filed under: uncultured organism
Description: partial 16S ribosomal RNA
Rfam family: Bacterial small subunit ribosomal RNA
Source: RNAcentral